This 83-nucleotide transfer RNA is filed under the name Geoglobus ahangari. RNAcentral's name for it is "tRNA-Ser". It matches the Rfam family "tRNA". Rfam says of the family: Transfer RNA (tRNA) molecules are approximately 80 nucleotides in length. Their secondary structure includes four short double-helical elements and three loops (D, anti-codon, and T loops). Further hydrogen bonds mediate the characteristic L-shaped molecular structure. tRNAs have two regions of fundamental functional importance: the anti-codon, which is responsible for specific mRNA codon recognition, and the 3' end, to which the tRNAs corresponding amino acid is attached (by aminoacyl-tRNA synthetases). tRNAs cope with the degeneracy of the genetic code in two manners: having more than one tRNA (with a specific anti-codon) for a particular amino acid; and 'wobble' base-pairing, i.e. permitting non-standard base-pairing at the 3rd anti-codon position. The record is from RNAcentral. Lineage: Archaea; Methanobacteriati; Methanobacteriota; Archaeoglobi; Archaeoglobales; Archaeoglobaceae. RNAcentral also lists the same sequence under 1 other name.
GCCGGGGUUGCAGAGAGGCACUGCGGUGGACUCGAGAUCCACUGCCCGAUGAGGGCACCUGGGUUCAAGUCCCAGCCCCGGCG